RNAcentral lists this long non-coding RNA (256 nucleotides) under Elaeis guineensis (African oil palm). Its description in RNAcentral is "long non-coding RNA (EGUI_LNC001105)". Lineage: Eukaryota; Viridiplantae; Streptophyta; Magnoliopsida; Arecales; Arecaceae. The record is from RNAcentral.
AAGACUUUUGAUCUUUUUUUCUCCUCUUUUAUGGUGCGAAUGCUACCACUACCGACUAGAUUGGAGUGAUCAGUCAUCAGAUUUCAUGAUAGAUGGGCAUCCUCUAUUUAUUCUUUUUUGCCGCAUCGAUCAUUAUUGUUGAAUAUGGGCCAUGCUUAGAUGGCCAUGGGCCAGAGUCAUUGGAUCUACUAGCAUUGGACCUAGCCGCCAGUACUGAGGAUCGUCAUAAUAGGGGGUGGUCUGUCUUAAAGCCUUC